GAUGAACGCUGGCGGCGUGCCUAAUACAUGCAAGUCGAGCGAACGGACGAGAAGCUUGCUUCUCUGAUGUUAGCGGCGGACGGGUGAGUAACACGUGGAUAACCUACCUAUAAGACUGGGAUAACUUCGGGAAACCGGAGCUAAUACCGGAUGAUAUUUUGCACCGCAUGGUUCAAAAGUGAAAGACGGUCUUGCUGUCACUUAUAGAUGGAUCCGCGCUGCAUUAGCUAGUUGGUAAGGUAACGGCUUACCAAGGCAACGAUGCAUAGACGAACUGAGAGGGUGAUCGGCCACACUGGAACUGAGACACGGUCCAGACUCCUGCGGGAGGCAGCAGUAGGGAAUCUUCCGCAAUGGGGGGAAGCCUGACGGAGCAACCCCGAGUGAGUGAUGAAGGUCUUCGGAUCGUAAAACUCUGUUAUGAGGUAAGAACAUAUGUGUAAGUAACUGUGCACAUCUUGACGGUACCUAAUCAGAAAGCAACGGCUAACUACGUG
RNAcentral lists this ribosomal RNA (497 nucleotides) under uncultured bacterium. RNAcentral describes it as "partial 16S ribosomal RNA". It matches the Rfam family "Bacterial small subunit ribosomal RNA", at positions 28 to 507 of the family's 1533-position model. The record is from RNAcentral.